This 753-nucleotide ribosomal RNA is filed under the name uncultured bacterium. RNAcentral describes it as "bacterial SSU rRNA". It matches the Rfam family "Bacterial small subunit ribosomal RNA", at positions 28 to 776 of the family's 1533-position model. The record is from RNAcentral.
AUUGAACGCUGGCGGCAGGCUUAACACAUGCAAGUCGAACGAUGACGGUACUGCUUGCAGUACCUAAUUAGUGGCGGACGGGUGAGUAACGCUUAGGAAUCUACCUAAUAAUGGGGGAUAGCCCGGGGAAACUCGGAUUAAUACCGCAUACGUCUUACGAGAGAAAGGGGGCUACUUGUAGCUCUCGUUAUUAGAUGAGCCUAAGUUAGAUUAGCUAGAUGGUGGGGUAAAGGCCUACCAUGGCGACGAUCUAUAGCUGGUCUGAGAGGAUGAUCAGCCACACCGGAACUGAGACACGGUCCGGACUCCUACGGGAGGCAGCAGUGGGGAAUAUUGGACAAUGGGGGCAACCCUGAUCCAGCCAUGCCGCGUGUGUGAAGAAGGCCUUUUGGUUGUAAAGCACUUUAAGUAGCGAAGAAGACCCCAUGGUUAAUACCCAUGGGCGAUGACAUUAACUACAGAAUAAGCACCGGCUAACUCUGUGCCAGCAGCCGCGGUAAUACAGAGGGUGCGAGCGUUAAUCGGAAUUACUGGGCGUAAAGCGAGCGUAGGUGGUCCAAUAAGUCAGAUGUGAAAUCCCCGGGCUCAACCUGGGAACUGCAUCUGAAACUGUUAAACUAGAGUAGGUGAGAGGGGAGUAGAAUUUCAGGUGUAGCGGUGAAGUGCGUAGAUAUCUGAAGGAAUACCGAUGGCGAAGGCAGCUCCCUGGCAUCAUACUGACACUGAGGCUCGAAAGCGUGGGUAGCAAACAGG